Molecule: long non-coding RNA, 752 nt
Organism: Rattus norvegicus (Norway rat)
Lineage: Eukaryota; Metazoa; Chordata; Mammalia; Rodentia; Muridae
Source: Ensembl
GAAGAGGAAGAGGAAGAGGAAGAGGAAGAAGAGUUAACAUUCCUUGUGCUGGCAGCUGAACCCAGUAAUGUGUAAGAGUCUCCCAGGUGGUAACGGUUACGGCUUGGCACUAGAAGAGGCCAUUGGUAAAGGUAAAGCCUCAGAUGCAGUGGAAACCCCAGAAUUGAAGGAUCAUGGAGAGAAGUUGAAGCUUAUACCAUAUUGCCAGAUCAGUCCACUGAAGACAGCUUAAAGAGAAGCUGUUGAUGAAAGUGCAGCUUGGUUCCAGCAGGGAUCCUGGUAUUUUGGAGAUGCCAGACCAUGAAGUGACAACCAAGGACAGCAGCAGCAAUGGAGUAGAGCCAACCUGAGCCUAGGAGACAAUCUUUAUUUGCUGCUUGUGGUAGAACAAGAGAAUUAGAACUGCUUAGGCCUUCUGGAGCCCAGCAGGUCAUGACUGAAUCCCAGAGACUGCCUUUAGCGCUUCUUAACAUUGUCCAUGGCCAUUACAACAUCAAAAAGAGGCCUGAGCCAAACGCUCUUCACAGGAAACUGGUGUGGGGCUGCGAACUGUGGAAUGAUGUUGCCCAUGGCUCUUCUACUUCCAUUUAUGCUGUAGCUACUCCCUCAUCGCGUGCCCAGAAACUUCCAGAAAAUGCUUUCCUUGGUGAUUCUGGGUCCCUGUCAGUUACCACCGCCAUUACAGUAUGACAACUGUUUUCUUUUCUCCCUCUAUGCACUCUGGACAUGGCUUCUUCUACUUUACUCCCCAC